ACGGAAGGCAGCAGUGGGGAAUAUUGGGCAAUGGGCGAAAGCCUGACCCAGCAACGCCGCGUGAAGGAAGAAGGUCUUCGGAUUGUAAACUUCUUUUAUGUGGGACGAACAAAUGACGGUACCACAUGAAUAAGCCACGGCUAACUACGUGCCAGCAGCCGCGGUAAUACGUAGGUGGCAAGCGUUAUCCGGAUUUACUGGGUGUAAAGGGCGCGUAGGCGGGGAAGCAAGUCAGAUGUGAAAUCCAUGGGCUCAACCCAUGAACUGCAUUUGAAACUGUUUCUCUUGAGUGCUGGAGAGGUAGAUGGAAUUCCUAGUGUAGCGGUGAAAUGCGUAGAUAUUAGGAAGAACACCAGUGGCGAAGGCGAUCUACUGGACAGUAACUGACGCUGAGGCGCGAAAGCGUGGGGAGCAAACAGGAUUAGAUACCCUGGUA
RNAcentral lists this ribosomal RNA (436 nucleotides) under uncultured Oscillospiraceae bacterium. RNAcentral's name for it is "bacterial SSU rRNA". It matches the Rfam family "Bacterial small subunit ribosomal RNA", at positions 341 to 792 of the family's 1533-position model. Lineage: Bacteria; Bacillati; Bacillota; Clostridia; Eubacteriales; Oscillospiraceae. The record is from RNAcentral.